Rhododendron vialii is the source of this 1473-nucleotide RNA transcript. RefSeq lists it as uncharacterized. The transcript has 6 exons. Lineage: Eukaryota; Viridiplantae; Streptophyta; Magnoliopsida; Ericales; Ericaceae. The record is from RefSeq and is a predicted model, not a curated record.
GUCUUGCCAUAUUUCUUCACCCCUUUUCGUUUCUAUUCAUCUGGAUCUAAACCAAACGCAAACCUCUCUCUAACCCUCGCCAGAUCGAUCGGUGCACGGCGAGCCCGUUUCAGUGCAGUCCAAAUCUCCAGCCACAAUCACAGCCAUCAUCAUGCCUAUAUGGAGCACAGAGUUGAUGUCGUUUGAGAUGUGCACCUUUUGGUCUACGAUUUCGGACGAGAGAGAAGUAGAUGGGAGUUAUAGACGGUUUAAUUCAGCGCAGCGAACUGCUAAGACAGAUGAUUCUGCCAGAGUUGGACGUCACGACGACGAAGGUCGGGAAGUUAGAGAUUAUGGUUUGGGAAUUUAAAGGUGGCUCCCAGUUGCUGAGUUGGCUUUACCUGAGGAAAAGGGCGAUCCAAUUUAUGCGGUUGCUUGGGCACCAAAUAUUGGCAGGCCAUAUGAGGUAAUAACAACUGGGACUCACAAGCAAAUUACAAUAUGGCACCUUGGAUUAAACCCCAAUCUUGAUGGAAAGCUCUCAACGAAAAAGGUUACAUUGCUCUCUGGUCUUGAAGAGCUCUCUUUUCUUAAUUUCUUUUUUAUUUAUUUACUUGCUUAUAAAAGGGUCGCCUAUAAUGUACGGGAGGAUGUGCUUCUUGAAUCUUCCCUUACAAAUCUUAUAUUUCCGUGAUCAGGUUUGGGAGAUGGAGUGGAACAUUAGUGGAAUGACCCUAGCAACCACUGAAGGUGAUGGCGUGAUGAGUUUGUGGCAGUCUAACUUAAAAGGCGUUCAUCUACCAGCAGUUUUUGAACACACCACUUAGCCCACUUUUCUUCUUUCUUUUGCCGUAGCUUAUUGUUGUAUUCUAGCUUAUUGUUUUUGAACCCACCAGCCCACGUUUCUUCUUCCUCCCUGGCACAACCACCCUUUUAACUUGAAGGCUUGCAUGGAUGAUUACAGAGGAAUCAACUGCUGUGUUUUCACUGUCAACUCAAUCUCCAAUCCAAUCAACAUCGAAGAACCACUGCAGCGAGAAGCACCCCAACCACAACCACCUCAACCCCAACCUCCAAAAACACCAAACAAACGCACCUAGCAAGAAAGCUCCAGAGUUAGUUCAUCAACAUGCUACAGUGACAUGGAAGAAGACGAAUCUGCAUAGCCUCUGAAACACAAACAGAAGAAAGAAUAGUGCCCCCAUCUAAUUCCAGCAAGCGAUCUUUGAAAAAUAGACAUUAAAGCAAAUCUUUUGGUGUGAAUGUUUUGCAACUUUCUAUUUUAAAUGCAUUCGCAUCCUCUAGCAUAUAGACACAUAUUUUGCUUCAGCUAUUUACAACAGACAAUAGAGCAGAUCUUUUGGUGUGGGUGAUUUGCAAUAUUGCCUGUUUAGUACGCAACUCUUUUUGUCCAGGCAAAUUGCUACUUAACUUUAGGUAUAUUCAGUGCUUCUAAAUCUGUAUAUAAAUCACUUUGGUCCAGAGUUCUACUCA